This is a long non-coding RNA of Magnolia sinica, 255 nucleotides long. RefSeq lists it as uncharacterized. The record is from RefSeq and is a predicted model, not a curated record. NCBI's taxonomy places the organism in Eukaryota, Viridiplantae, Streptophyta, Magnoliopsida, Magnoliales, Magnoliaceae. The transcript is spliced from 2 exons.
GUGGAGGGCAAGUCCAAGAGGGAAUCCUUGCAGUUUGCUGCUGCCGCAGCUUCUCUGUGCCUUCAAGUGAAGGGGGCCAUUCCAAGCAUGCCUGACAGGAAAGUAGUUUUGGAGCUUCUUCAAUCUCUUUGAGGGGAUUCCCUUUCUUUGGUAAGUAUCAUCAUGUUAUCCAGAUGGAAGAUAACUGUGUACGUGAAAAAAAUGUAACAAGUGGGAACAUUUAAAAAACUAAUGCAAGGCUAUAACUUUUGUUUU